This 440-nucleotide ribosomal RNA is filed under the name uncultured bacterium. RNAcentral describes it as "partial 16S ribosomal RNA". It matches the Rfam family "Bacterial small subunit ribosomal RNA", at positions 338 to 795 of the family's 1533-position model. The record is from RNAcentral.
CCUACGGGAGGCAGCAGUGGGGAAUAUUGCACAAUGGGGGAAACCCUGAUGCAGCGACGCCGCGUGAGUGAAGCAGUAUUUCGGUACGUAAAGCUCUAUCAGCAGGGAAGAAAAUGACGGUACCUGACUAAGAAGCCCCGUCUAACUACGUGCCAGCAGCCGCGGUAAUACGUAGGGGGCAAGCGUUAUCCGGCUUUACUGGGUGUAAAGGGAGCGUAGACGGCAGCGCAAGUCUGGAGUGAAAUCCCAUGGCUUAACCAUGGAACUGCUUUGGAAACUGUGCAGCUAGAGUGCAGGAGAGGUAAGCGGAAUUCCUAGGGUAGCGGUGAAAUGCGUAGAUAUUAGGAGGAACACCAGUGGCGAAGGCGGCUUACUGGACUGUAACUGACGUUGAGGCUCGAAAGCGUGGGGAGCAAACAGGAUUAGAUACCCUAGUAGUC